UUGCAGAAUCCCGUGAACCAUCGAGUCUUUGAACGCAAGUUGCGCCUGAAGCCAUUAGGUUGAAGGCACGUCUGCCUGGGCGUCACGC
RNAcentral lists this ribosomal RNA (88 nucleotides) under Cavendishia callista. RNAcentral describes it as "partial 5.8S ribosomal RNA". It matches the Rfam family "5.8S ribosomal RNA", at positions 72 to 154 of the family's 154-position model. Rfam says of the family: 5.8S ribosomal RNA (5.8S rRNA) is a component of the large subunit of the eukaryotic ribosome. It is transcribed by RNA polymerase I as part of the 45S precursor that also contains 18S and 28S rRNA. Lineage: Eukaryota; Viridiplantae; Streptophyta; Magnoliopsida; Ericales; Ericaceae. The record is from RNAcentral.